AUGAGCUACAUAUAUCAUUUUCCAUAGCCUAUGGUUAUGGUUUGAUAUUUAUAAGCUGCGAUAAGCAUUGGGUAGGUGCAAAUAACCUUUGAUCCAGUGAUUUCCGAAUGGGACAACCCGGCUGUCUGAAGGACAGUCAUUACCAUCUUUUUGGUAAGGCAAACGCAGGGAACUGAAACAUCUUAGUACCUGCAGGAAGAGAAAAUAAUUCAAUGAUUCCCCCAGUAGUGGCGAGCGACCGGGGAACAGCCCAAACCCAUCCCGUAGCAAUGCGGGUUGGGGGUAGUAGGACCGCGCUGUCGUACUUUGAUUGUGAGGAGAAGCUUCUGGAAAGAAGCAUCGUAGAGGGUGACAAUCCCGUAUCCGUAGCAUGACGAGGCGUAGCGGUAUCCUGAGUAACGCGGAACACGUGAAAUUCUGCGCGAAUCUGCCGGGACCAUCCGGCAAGGCUAAAUACUCCCGUGAGACCGAUAGUGGACGAGUACCGUGAGGGAAAGGUGAAAAGCACCCCGCGAGGGGAGUGAAAUAGUUCCUGAAACCAUGCGCCUACAAGCGGUCGGAGCCGCGCAAGCGGUGACGGCGUGCCUUUUGCAUAAUGAACCUACGAGUUACCAUGUCCGGCAAGGUUUAGCGGUUCAGCCGCGCAGCCUCAGUGAAAGCGAGCCUGAAGAGGGCGUUUAAGUCGGAUGGGGUAGACGCGAAACCAAGUGAUCUACACUUGCCCAGGUUGAAGUUCCGGUAACACGGAAUGGAGGACCGAACCAAUAAGCGUUGAAAAGCUUCUGGAUGAGGUGAGUGUAGGAGUGAAAGGCCAAUCAAACUUGGAGAUAGCUCGUACUCCCCGAAAGGCAUUUAGGUGGGUAGGGGAGCAUUCCAUCGACGCAGAAUGGUGAUAUUGAUUGAUCCUGGAGUUUAUGGAAAAGCAAAUGUAGGUAUAAGUAACGAUAAAAAGGGUGUGAUUCCCUUUCGCCGUAAGACCGAGGUUUCCCGGGCGAUGCCAAUCAGCCCGGGGUGAGUCGGGUCCUAAGCCUCAGCCGAAUGGCGAUGGCGAUGGCAGACACGGUUAAUAUUCCGUGACUUGCGCAUAUAGCGAUGUGGAGACGGAGCAGUGACACUGUCGCGUCCUGACGGAAAUGGGCGUUGAAGGUUGUAGGCGUUGAGGGAUACAGGCAAAUCCGUAUUCCGAGCUGAAUUCCGACAGUACGGUCUUCUUUUCGGAGACGACCGAUAGCACAGGUAAUCAUACUCCCUAGAAAAUCCGCUAAGCAUAUGUUUGCGCAACCCGUACCGCAAACGGACACACGUGGUCGGGUAGAACAUACCAAGGCGUUGAGAGAUUCAUGGUUAAGGAACUAGGCAAACUGACCCCGUAACUUCGGGAAAAGGGGUCCUCAUGGCGACAUGAGGCGCAGAGAAUAGGUCCAGGCAACUGUUUAACAAAAACACAGGGCUGUGCCAACUCGAAAGAUGACGUAUACAGCCUGACACCUGCCCGGUGCCGGAAGGUUAAGAGGAGAUGUCACACUUAUGUGGAAGCAUUGAAUUGAAGCCCCGGUAAACGGCGGCCGUAACUAUAACGGUCCUAAGGUAGCGAAAUUCCUUGUCGGGUAAGUUCCGACCUGCACGAAUGGUGUAAUGAUCCGGACGCUGUCUCAACCAUGAUCUCAGUGAAAUUGUAGUAUCGGUGAAGAUGCCGAUUACCCGCGAUGGGACGAAAAGACCCCGUGAACCUUUACUACA
Molecule: ribosomal RNA, 1740 nt
Filed under: human gut metagenome
Description: bacterial LSU rRNA
Rfam family: Bacterial large subunit ribosomal RNA
Source: RNAcentral